AGCCAUGCGAGUCAUUGUAGUAAUACAAGGCAGACGGCUCAGUAACGCGUAGUCAACCUAACCUAUGGACGGGAAUAACCUCGGGAAACUGAGUAUAAUGCCCGAUAGAACAUUAUGCCUGGAAUGGUUUAUGUUCCAAAUGAUUUAUCGCCGUAGGAUGGGACUGCGGCCUAUCAGUUUGUUGGUGAGGUAAUGGCCCACCAAGACUAUUACAGGUACGGGCUCUGAGAGGAGUAGCCCGGAGAUGGGUACUGAGACACGGACCCAGGCCCUAUGGGGCGCAGCAGGCGAGAAAACUUUGCAAUGUGCGAAAGCACGACAAGGUUAAUCCGAGUGGUUUCUGCUAAAGGAACCUUUUGACAGUCCUAGAAACACUGUUGAAUAAGGGGUGGGCAAGUUCUGGUGUCAGCCGCCGCGGUAAAACCAGCACCUCAAGUGGUCAGGAUGAUUAUUGGGCCUAAAGCAUCCGUAGCCGGCUCUGUAAGUUUUCGGUUAAAUCUGUACGCUCAACGUACAGGCUGCCGGGAAUACUGCAGAGCUAGGGAGUGGGAGAGGUAGACGGUACUCGGUAAGAAGGGGUAAAAUCCUUUGAUCUAUUGAUGACCACCUGUGGCGAAAGCGGUCUACCAGAACACGUCUCGACGGUGAGGGAAGAAAGCUGGGGGAGCACAAACGGAAUAGAUACCCGGGUAGUCCCAGCUGUAAACCAUGCAAACUCAGUGAUGCAUUGGCUUGUGGGCAAUGCAGUGCUGCAAGGAAGCCGUAAGUUUGCCGCCUGGGAAGUACGUACGCAAGUAUGAUACUUAAAGGAAUUGGCGGGG
RNAcentral lists this ribosomal RNA (821 nucleotides) under uncultured marine archaeon. RNAcentral's name for it is "bacterial SSU rRNA". It matches the Rfam family "Archaeal small subunit ribosomal RNA", at positions 47 to 873 of the family's 1478-position model. The record is from RNAcentral.